Molecule: ribosomal RNA, 564 nt
Filed under: Fistularia commersonii (bluespotted cornetfish)
Lineage: Eukaryota; Metazoa; Chordata; Actinopteri; Syngnathiformes; Fistulariidae
Description: partial 16S ribosomal RNA
Rfam family: Bacterial large subunit ribosomal RNA
Source: RNAcentral
UGCCUGCCCUGUGACCCUAGGUUUAACGGCCGCGGUAUUUUGACCGUGCGAAGGUAGCGCAAUCACUUGUCUUUUAAAUGAAGACCUGUAUGAAUGGCAAGACGAGGGCUUAACUGUCUCCUCCCCCCAGUCAAUGAAAUUGAUCUUCCCGUGCAGAAGCGGGAAUAUGCCCAUAAGACGAGAAGACCCUAUGGAGCUUUAGACAUAAGACAGCCUAUGUUAAGCACCCCUGAUAAGGCCUCCAAACAAAAUAGGCCCUGCCUGAAUGUCUUUGGUUGGGGCGACCGCGGGGACAUAAAAAACCCCCACGUGGAAUGGGAGUACCUCUCCCAGAGCUAAGAGCUACGGCUCUAGGCAACAGAAUUUCUGACCAGCAAGAUCCGGUACAUCCGAUCAACGGACCGAGUUACCCUAGGGAUAACAGCGCAAUCCCCUUCCAGAGUCCCUAUCGACAAGGGGGUUUACGACCUCGAUGUUGGAUCAGGACAUCCUAAUGGUGCAGCCGCUAUUAAGGGUUCGUUUGUUCAACGAUUAAAGUCCUACGUGAUCUGAGUUCAGACCGGA